Molecule: non-coding RNA, 426 nt
Organism: Cavia porcellus (domestic guinea pig)
Lineage: Eukaryota; Metazoa; Chordata; Mammalia; Rodentia; Caviidae
Source: the annotation of a RefSeq genome assembly
AUGACUGUCACCUGCACAGAAAAUCAUCUGACAAUGUUUCCAGGUGUUCACGCAGAAGCACAGCUCAUAGAGUCUGGAGGAGGCUUGGUGCAGCCUGGGGAGUCCCUUAGACUGUCCUGCGUGGCCUCGGGAUUAACCUUAAGCAAUUACUGGACAGACUGGGUCCGCCAGGCUCCCGGGAAAGGGCUGGAGUGGAUCUCAGCUAUCAGUAACAGUGGUAGCACAUAUUUCGCUGACUCCGUGAAGGGCCGAUUCACCAUCUCUAGGGACAAUGUCAAGAAUACGCUGUAUCUGCAGAUGAGCAGCCUGAGACCCCAGGACACGGCCGUGUACUAUUGUUCAACUGACACAAUGAGAGAAACCUCAGUGGGAGUCAGUCAUAAACUUCCGUGCAGGGGCGCUGAGGACCAGCAGGUGUCGCUCUAG